ACUGCAUUAUGCUCAGUGGGGAAUAUUUGAAGCCACAAAUAUUGCGGAGGAUAACGGAACCAUGGACAGGAUGUGUUGACAUGGUCGUCUUCAUUGGAUUCAAGCUUCCCUGGCCUGCUCUGGAUACAGUGAUGCAGCACUGAAUGGACCUCUCGUGCCACCUGCAAUCUGGAGAGUUAUCUGCAGCCAACCAACUGAGGGUUGAGAAAGACACACAAGAGACAGCAAGGAAGUAAAACGAGGAAAGAUAAGAAUUCUGAGUUAUAGAGCUGGCGUGAAAGAAGACAGGAGGAUAAAGAGAGAAGGGGUGAGUUGUGGAGCUGCCUGAGUGCUGCAGUGUGGAGGUUGGAGGUCAUGGUGGGGCGGGGCCUGUGGGUGUGUAAGCCCCGCUUUGGUAAGCGGGGGCGGUUCGGGGUGGUGCCUGCUCUCUGUGUGCUGAUAGUCAGUGCUGCCCUGCUAGCUCUGCUCUUCGUGGACUCCAUUGAGUCAUGGGCCACCUCCAUGAACAUGAACACAAUGGUAGAGGCGCAGGGGGGGAUUAUACUCCCACAAAGUGUCCCCCCAACCAGACCCGAGGAGUACCUCCUUAUGCCCAGCCCUCUCGUCUGCCAGCGUGCCAAACCCUACCUCAUCGCCAUGGUGACCUCCGCCCCAGCCAAUCAGAUGGCCCGCCAGGCCAUCCGGGACACGUGGGGUGGGGAGGUGGAGGUCAGGGGUCAUAGGGUCAUGACCUUGUUCAUGGUCGGGGUGGCCUCUGACCCUGGGCUAGCCAAGCUGCUGAUAGAGGAGGCCCGGGAACGAGGGGACCUGAUCCAAGGGCGCUUCUGGGACUCCUACUCUAACCUGACCCUGAAGACCCUCUCCAUGCUGAACUGGGCCCGACACUUCUGCCCCCAGGCCCACUUCCUGGCCAAGGUGGACGAUGACGUCCUGUUCAACCCCGGGGCCCUGCUGCGCUACCUGAACAGGAGCACCGUGACCAACACCUACGAGCAUGGGGACCUGUACCUUGGCCGGGUCCACCUUCACGUGGCUCCAGACCGAGACCCAGACAGUAAGCACUACCUCCCUAGAGGGGCAUACCCUGCAUCUGUCUUCCCUGACUACUGCAGUGGCACUGCCUACAUCCUCUCUCGCUCCACCCUGCUCAAGAUCUCCUUGACUGCCGCUGCCUCACCUCUGCCCACCCCUCUGCCCCCUGAGGACGUGUUUGUGGGUCUGUGUGCCCGUGCAGCUGGAGUGCUGCCCUCCCACUGCCCGCUGUUCUCUGGUGGGCCCGCAGUGCCCUACGGGCGCUGCUGCUACCAGGCCAUGGUGUCCAUCCACCACAUCUCCCCCAGAGAGAUGCUCCGGUUUUGGGCUGACAUCCACUCCCCUCCCCCCUGCUCCUGGCUGGGCCUGCGCGCCUCCCUGGGGGUCUGUAAAGUCCGGGCCAUGCUGGGGACCUUUCUGGGGGUGGAUCAGGGGCUGUGAGGGGGGUGUUGCCCUCGUGGAUAGGAAACUAUUGUGUUUUGGGGGCUGUGCCUCUGCCAGGAUUUCAAUACUGUGAAUAGCACAAGUGCUCUAUUUCAUUGGGAAUGUUCUAUAGAUAAACUUGAAGGAACAAAGGAAGAAACAGAGGCAAAGGGAGCACCUCAGUACACAGUCAGCCCGUCUUCCCUGGUGGUUCAACCGCUAUGGUCAGUCAGCAGCACUCAAGACAUGAAAAAGACCAGAUGAGAUGGACUGCCAUAGGCGAACACAUACACACACAAACACACAGAUGCAGUAUUUAUAACCCCGCUUCAAUAACUUAUGUAACUGUCAUGUUUAGCAAGUAGAGUGUGAAUAAAAGACAUGCAUUGGUUUUUCUGGGCUGGGAGGGUAAUGAUUUGUCUGACCCAGAGAGGGAUUCAGUCCACUGCUGCAGAGGGCUCUUCUGUAGUCAAGAGGGUUGCGUUUACACAGGCAGCCUAAUUCUGAUAUUUUUCCCACUAAUUGGUCUUUUGACCAAAUGUAUAUCUUUUUUACAUCAGAUCUUUUUCAGAGUUGAUCUGAUUAGUCAAAAAAACUAUUAGUGAGAGAAAAAAAUCUGAAUUGGGCUGCCUGUGUAAAUGCAGCUGAGGAGAUCCAAUACAAAUUAAAAUGCAGUUUUCAACAUUAUUUAUGAGUGUAUGUUGUAGACAAAGGGACAUCUCUUGGAUUUUUGGGGGGGAUGUAUUAUUGGGGAGUGUUUCCAAUAACCUUUUCAAUACUAACGUGAGAAGUGAACUGAAACAUUGUAAUUCGCAUUGUUUGAACAAAGACAGAUCCGGGUAGCCAUGUAUGUUCUUCCUCCUCCCUCACCUAGAAUGAAUAUUGAGUAUUCUAUUCUGUGAAGAUGUAUUAGUAUGAAGGAUGCGUGAAUGUACUCAGAAAAUGUGUGUGUGCAAGAAUGGAUUGAUCACUAAUAAAGCCCUCAAUCAUACCCUU
Molecule: RNA transcript, 2451 nt
Organism: Salvelinus sp. IW2-2015
Lineage: Eukaryota; Metazoa; Chordata; Actinopteri; Salmoniformes; Salmonidae
Gene: b3galt4
Gene name: UDP-Gal:betaGlcNAc beta 1,3-galactosyltransferase, polypeptide 4
Source: RefSeq, a predicted model, not a curated record